UCCUCCGUGGCGCAAUUGGCUAGCGCGUCUGACUGUUAUUAUCAGGAAUCACGAAUCAGGAAUUAACUGAAUCAGGAAUUACCUGAAAUAGCCCAUCAGGAGGUUGACAGUUCAAGCCUGUCCGGGGGAG
This is a non-coding RNA of Xylaria telfairii, 130 nucleotides long. The record is from the annotation of a GenBank genome assembly. NCBI's taxonomy places the organism in Eukaryota, Fungi, Ascomycota, Sordariomycetes, Xylariales, Xylariaceae.